AAAUAUUCUUUGGAAAUUUUAAUUGAGGAAUCAAAUGAAAAAUAAUAUUUUUCAUUUAUUUAUUAAAAACAAGUAUCAUAAAAAUGUAUUAUUUUUCUACAUAAUCUCCAUUUUAGUAAAUAUAAAUCAUCCAGCACUUAACUGGUACUUAAGUGCUGGAUGAUUAAGCAGCCACUGAUGCACAAUCUUUUCAUUGUUUCAUCUGAUCAGGACUUUUACCCAUUGCUUCUUUGAGUAAUAAAAAAUCUGGUAAUGACUUGAAGCAUGUGUGGUAAGUAUGUAGAUGAGAUACUCAAAAUGCAAUUCCUCAGUGAUUGAAACUGUUAUGCAUGAACUAUAAGACUAUGCAUUAUCAUAUUCAAGAUAUCAAUAUCCAGGAAUCCUUAUUGUUUUAACUUGUUAUAUUUCCAUAAAAUUAUUGCAGAUUUCUGAGGAAAUCUGAAUAUGUGCCAAUGGUAAUGGUGCUCCUUGGAUUUGUAGUGCUCCAAGAUUGGCUCUCAUAUGUCCCAAAAGAAAGUCAAUAUUAUUUUCCUUGCAGAAUUUUUCUGAUUUUGGAAAGGAUGAAUGACAACAUCCUUUGCUCACUUAUUUUCCAGUCUCCUGUAAUGGAUCUAGUUUCAUCUCCAAUCACAAGUUUUGCAGGAAACCAACACUUUCUGCUUGCAUUUUUCAGAGGAUGCUAUCUUAAGACUACUAUUAUGACAUUAUGUAGCUCAUGAUCAGUGCUGCUGCCUGUAGAAUGUUCUUUAAGCCAUUGCUGAUGAUACAUUCAAAGAACAACUGUGUACAAUCUUUACUCAAGUUUUAUCUCACUUUUUAAGGUUUUCAAAUAAAUUUCCUUUGUAUUUAUAAGAUACAUAAACUCUCAAUUAACCAGAAUA
RNAcentral lists this long non-coding RNA (881 nucleotides) under Androctonus crassicauda. Lineage: Eukaryota; Metazoa; Arthropoda; Arachnida; Scorpiones; Buthidae. The record is from RNAcentral.